Molecule: transfer RNA, 75 nt
Filed under: Kribbella pittospori
Lineage: Bacteria; Bacillati; Actinomycetota; Actinomycetes; Propionibacteriales; Kribbellaceae
Description: tRNA-Val
Rfam family: tRNA
About the family: Transfer RNA (tRNA) molecules are approximately 80 nucleotides in length. Their secondary structure includes four short double-helical elements and three loops (D, anti-codon, and T loops). Further hydrogen bonds mediate the characteristic L-shaped molecular structure. tRNAs have two regions of fundamental functional importance: the anti-codon, which is responsible for specific mRNA codon recognition, and the 3' end, to which the tRNAs corresponding amino acid is attached (by aminoacyl-tRNA synthetases). tRNAs cope with the degeneracy of the genetic code in two manners: having more than one tRNA (with a specific anti-codon) for a particular amino acid; and 'wobble' base-pairing, i.e. permitting non-standard base-pairing at the 3rd anti-codon position.
Source: RNAcentral
GGGCGGAUAGCUCAGCGGUAGAGCGCUUCCCUUACAAGGAAGAUGUCGGGGGUUCGAUCCCCUCUUCGCCCACCC